AACCAGACUCCUACGGGAGGCAGCAGUGGGGAAUAUUGCACAAUGGGGGGAACCCUGAUGCAGCGACGCCGCGUGAGUGAAGAAGUAUUUCGGUAUGUAAAGCUCUCUCAGCAGGGACGAAGAUGACGGUACCUGCAGAAGAAGCCCCGGCUAACUACGUGCCAGCAGCCGCGGUAAUACGUAGGGGGCAAGCGUUAUCCGGAUUUACUGGGUGUAAAGGGAGCGUAGACGGCAGGGCAAGCCAGAAGUGAAAACGCAGAGCUUAACUUUGCGACGGCUUUUGGAACUGCCCAGCUAGAGUACAGGAGAGGUAAGUGGAAUUCCUAGUGUAGCGGUGAAAUGCUUAGAUAUCACGAAGAACUCCGAUUGCGAAGGCAGCUUACUAAACUGCCACUGACAUUGAUGCUCGAAAGUGUGGGUAUCAAACAGGAUUAGAUACCCCUGUAGCC
RNAcentral lists this ribosomal RNA (449 nucleotides) under uncultured bacterium. RNAcentral describes it as "bacterial SSU rRNA". It matches the Rfam family "Bacterial small subunit ribosomal RNA", at positions 329 to 795 of the family's 1533-position model. The record is from RNAcentral.